UACGUAGGGGGCAAGCGUUGUCCGGAUUUAUUGGGCGUAAAGCGCUCGCAGGUGGUCCGCUGCGUCGUGCGUGAAAGACCCCGGCUCAACUGGGGGAUGUCGUGCGAUACGGGCGGACUGGAGGCCAGUAGGGGGAUGCGGAAUUCCGGGUGUAGUGGUGGAAUGCGUAGAGACCCGGAGGAACACCAGCGGCGAAGGCGGCAUCCUGGACUGGUCCUGACACUCAGGAGCGAAAGCUAGGGUAGCAAACGGG
Molecule: ribosomal RNA, 253 nt
Filed under: uncultured bacterium
Lineage: Bacteria
Description: partial 16S ribosomal RNA
Rfam family: Bacterial small subunit ribosomal RNA
Source: RNAcentral